GGGAUUGAAAUGUAGAAACAGGAGGGAGUGGAUGCGAGAAAACGGUUUCUACGGAGAAAGGGGAUCAUCGUUUUGGAAGAAAAUAACUUUCCGGAGAAGGUUGAAGUUGCAAGAACUGCCGAUGGAGAAGCAACUUGCCGGAGACAAAGAGACGACGGAGGGAGAGGGAGAGAAGAACUGAAAGUAGUCUGAAAAAAUUAACAGUCGUGUUCCGUGACCUCGAUUGCGGUUCCCCGUAACUGCAAUUUCGGUUCCGCGGAACCCAUCGCGAGUUCCGCGGAACUCGAUCGCGGUUCGGCGGAACUCGAUUUCGAUUCCGCCGAACCCAUCGCCACUUCCGUGAAACUCAUCUCCGGGGAACCUCCGCUCGCCGAACAGAGCAACGACCGUCCGGAUGAAUCUCCGGGGAACCUCCGAUUUCGAUUCAAUGAACGGUCGAGAAUUUUUGUGUAGAUGGACGGCCGGAUCGGAGGUCCGCACCAGUGACCGUUCCUACUACCGGCCGUUCCAAA
This 512-nucleotide long non-coding RNA is filed under the name Zostera marina. RNAcentral describes it as "long non-coding RNA (ZMAR_LNC003575)". The record is from RNAcentral. Lineage: Eukaryota; Viridiplantae; Streptophyta; Magnoliopsida; Alismatales; Zosteraceae.